RNAcentral lists this long non-coding RNA (1487 nucleotides) under Marmota monax (woodchuck). Lineage: Eukaryota; Metazoa; Chordata; Mammalia; Rodentia; Sciuridae. The record is from RNAcentral.
CCCACCCCCCCCACACACACUCUUCAUUGAUGUCAUUAAUAUCAAAAUAUUCUUCACACAAUAAGAUCUGAAACUAUGGUAAAAAUUCAUUGAAAUGUAAAAUUGAAAACAAUUUGUGUUAUUAUUUAGAUAUGGUUUAAGGAUACACUCCCAAAAUUACAUAUGUUGGAGGCCUGAUCCUCAGGGUGGUGCUAUUGGGAUAUGGUGAGAUCUUUAAGAGGUGAGAAAUAGUGCGAGGUCCUUUGGUAGAUUGGGGACCUGCCCUUGGAGGUGAUUUUCAGACCCCAGAUUCUCUGGCUUCCUGUUUCAAGGUGUAAUGUCAGAACUGGGGAAUGCAGUUGAGUGGUAGAACAAGCUUGCUUAAUAUGUAAGAGGUCCUGGGUUCAAUCCCCUAAUACAGAAUAAAACAAUCAAGAUUUGAUCUUUUCUCCACACAUGUUCCCACCAUGAUGUGAUACAGCCAAGAGGGCCCUCACCAAAGCUGAGCUGAUGCCAGUGCCAUGCUCUGGAUCUCCAAAACUGUGACAAACUUCUUUUCUUUAUAAAGCUAGUGUGUCUUAGGUAUUUUGUUAGACUAAAACAAAAUGAAAUUGAUACAACUUAGAUGGAAGGGAAUUCAGAGCUCAUUUUAAUCAAAUGUAAUGAGCAUUUUCUCCUUAUUCUGGGAUGAGUAUUAUACAUUUACUAAGCAAAUAUUUCUGUUCUCAUUCCUCUAUGAUUUCCUUAUCAUAUAACAUUCUUUAUUUACACAGAAGGAUUCAUAGAUCAUUGAAGCAAAAGAAGUGCAGCAAUGGAAUUUGUUCUUAUUACAUUCCCUAUUAUCCUGAAGUGGCUGGCUUGAUAAAUGCUGGAAUAACAUUUGGAAGACUUGGUUACAGUGUUGGCUAUGUGGCAAAAACUCGCAGGACUAGUGCAAGAUUCUCUGGGGGUUGUUAUGCUCUGAAUCAGCAUCCAGUGUAUGUGAUGUUUCUCUUACAGCCAAGGUUCAUUUGAUCAAGAAUUCAAGGGUAGAAGUGGCAAUGGCAUCAUUCACUUUUAUCCCUAGUGACCCAUUAACACAAGUUUUGUGUCCUUUUCCCAUAACUUUAUGUUAUACUUGCUUGGAGACCUUAGUUCCAGAAGGAAAUAUGUUUCUGCCAGUAGGCAUAAGAAUGACUCCAUGGCCACCUAGUGACUUUGGGCUUCUUGUGCCUCUGAGUCAACUGGCAAAGAAGAGGAUUUAUGGUGCUGGCUGGGAUGAUAGAUCCGAGCUAUCAAGAAGGGAUUGGAUGCCUACUCUACAAUGGAGGUAAGAAGAGUAUGCCCAGAAUGGAGGAGAUCCUUUAAGGCAACUCAUGAUUUUCAUGCCCUGUGAUCAAGGUCAAUUGAAACUAUAAUAUCCUGAUAGAGACAGGAUUAUUAAAGGACAUAUGCUUCUGGAAUAAAAGUUUGGGUUAUCCCACCAGCUAAAGAACCAGGACCAAUUGAGGUGUUUGUAGAAGGCAAAU